GAAAAACGAAGUGUGAAUGGAGUAUGAGCAGUGGAGUGUAUUGUGUUGGUGAGGAGAUGUUGGUUUCAGAUGAAGGUGUGAUGAACUUAGCAAGAGAAAUCUGUGAUCGAUGGGGAAGAACAAAUGAAGGUGUAAUGAAUUUAGGAAGAGCAAUCUAGCAGUAACUGCUAGCCUUCAAGUUUUCAAACAGAGGGAUUUCAAC
This 202-nucleotide long non-coding RNA is filed under the name Nicotiana benthamiana. Its description in RNAcentral is "long non-coding RNA (NBEN_LNC042409)". Lineage: Eukaryota; Viridiplantae; Streptophyta; Magnoliopsida; Solanales; Solanaceae. The record is from RNAcentral.